Molecule: long non-coding RNA, 536 nt
Organism: Trichechus manatus latirostris (Florida manatee)
Lineage: Eukaryota; Metazoa; Chordata; Mammalia; Sirenia; Trichechidae
Exons: 4
Source: RefSeq, a predicted model, not a curated record
GGUUUGAAAACUCCAGAGUUGGCAGGUAUAAUAUCUGCAUCCAACACUGUGGUGUUGCCAAGGCAACCUAUUGAUGAAUCAUCCUAGAAUCUUUACCCCUGAAAGAUUCCAGAGAGGGCUGAGGAGUCCUCUCCAAGUAAGACCUCUACACCUGACUAUGGAUUGAUUGUGUCCUGAGCCUGAAGAUCAAGCUGAAAGAUUCAACAACCAGCAAAGUGAACAUCGAGGCAUCUAUUUUCCUUGAAACCGUGUGAAGGCUCCUUCAGAAAGAAAGUAAGAAGAACUAAGAAAUUACCAUUGGUCUGCUAGCUGUCAAAUUGAGAUACGUGAAAAACGCAAGCACAUACAAGCUAAAGGAACAUUGUGGCAACAUUUAAAAAUAUCACAGCUCCCUAAGUAAGAAGUAAUCCUGAUAAGCCUGUUUGAAAUUCGUGCACUACGUCUGUAACCCUGAAAGCCUGAAUUGUACAUUACCAAGGUUGGAGGAACAAAUCCCUGCUUUACUGGAAGAAAACCAGAGCGCAUCUGAGAAGAGG